This is a long non-coding RNA of Triticum aestivum (bread wheat), 1773 nucleotides long. RefSeq lists it as uncharacterized. The transcript has 2 exons. The record is from RefSeq and is a predicted model, not a curated record. Lineage: Eukaryota; Viridiplantae; Streptophyta; Magnoliopsida; Poales; Poaceae.
CCUGCAUAGAUAAGUACAUGGUGUUUACCAUAAUUUACAUUUGUCUUUAUAGUACUCCUCCUAAAUGUUUAUUGUUGAGUGUCUCAUUUCCAGCAUAUUAGUAGAGGAGCAUGCAAGUUUGGAUAGCUAAGUUUGUUGAUGGGAUUCAUUGUGCUGGUUAAAGUCAUAAUAUAUCAGCAGGUAUGGCAUGGGAUUCAUUGUUCUGGUAAGAUGAGAGUAGAUCAUUGUAUACAUUUCACCAUAUUGGAUUAUUUUGUGCCGAAUUCGUUAGUCAGGUACCUUCUUUCUCUUAAGCCAUCUUCAUCUACGUGUUUUAUAUAUUUACAACUUCCAAUUUAAUAGUAGAGAUUUAAUCUCAAUACUUGCUUGCAUGGUGUAAGAAUGUAGAAGUAUGUUUUAUUUUGGCUCCUACCUGUAGUCUACAACUGGGUGUUCCAAGAAUUUGUUUUUCACAUGGCCUUCUUUUCUACCUCUUCAUGGGCGAUCCUCAUUAUUUGUUCCUUGAUUCUCUAUGCAAGAAUCUUGCCUCAUGGUCGAAAACAUAUGGUCACAUAUUUUCUCCAGGGGAUUAAUUUUAGUCAGAGCCGGUCGAUAAAUGAUCGGCCAAUUAGUAUAAUUUUCUAGCUUAAUACAUGUCAUGUAAGUAUGUUUUCCUUAAUGUGAUAGGUAAUGUAAAUUUUGUGGGUCUCUCAGUUGCUAUGAGCCUACUACAGUUAAUUGGAAAGCAUGAUUCCGAUGGAAAUGCAACAGAAACAGAACCUGAAAUAUUAGUUAAUUGGAUAGCAUGGUCCCGACGGAAAUGCAAAUGAAACAGAACCUGGAAUAAUAAUUAAAAUUGGAUAGCAUGAUUCCGAUGGAAAUGCAAAAGAAACAGAACCAAUAAUAAGAUAGAUAAGAUGUGACUGACACUGGAGUAGGGAGCACACGACGGCCGUCGUUCGCGCGGCCGACACCGACACUGGUGUAGACAGUAGGCCACUGAAGAUCAUGUUGGCGAUGUAGUAUUUCCAUGAGCAUGCAUCAAAUAUCAAAUCUCUUUACCAGUCUCUUCCGUUGUCCACAUGGCUCCCCUUUUUAUGUACCACCACCUCAACUUGGUAGGACUUGAGAUUUACUUUGGUGUCUACCCCGUGCAGGAGAUGACUUUGUCGUACCUGACGUGCGGAAAUGCGAUGGUGUCUACCUUGAAGCUUGAAGAGUUCAUGAGGAAGUCUUGCUAGCAUCUAGAGUUGGAUGCCCUCAUGAAGACUACUGUCAGUCAAUUUUCAUGACUGUUCACACCGUUGAUGUUGUGAGGACUGGCAGCUCUUCAGUUCACACCGCCAAUGUUGUGAGGAGUGGCAGGACUUCAAUGGGCAUGGAGGCUGCAACCUAGGGCGAGGGCGUGGUGCGUUGAGAUGGCGGAGCUGCGUUGGUGGGAGGCGGCGAUGGCGGCGGCAACGCCAAUGUCCACAGGGAUCUCUUAGCCGCAACAGAUCGAAGAACAACUUGGGGAUGUCGUGCAGCUCCUGCGUGUAGUAGAUAAAUUGCCGCCCAGAUAAAUCACCGGGACACUACCAAGUGUGUCGUUCAUUGGGCCAGGAUAAAAAAUCUUGAGGGUGCCUCAUGUGCGACUCUAGCUAUUGAAAGUCAAAGAACUUGACUACUUCCGGAGUUUGAUAAGGCUUUAUAGUGAGUUCUCAUACUUUUACUGCUGUUGUUAUUAAGCAGAUUUUGUCAAAGCAAUUGCUAUGUGUAUGCCAUUUUCAUGUUCUAUACGUGGCUGUUUUUCUA